RNAcentral lists this ribosomal RNA (481 nucleotides) under uncultured bacterium. RNAcentral describes it as "bacterial SSU rRNA". It matches the Rfam family "Bacterial small subunit ribosomal RNA", at positions 28 to 526 of the family's 1533-position model. The record is from RNAcentral.
GACGAACGCUGGCGGCGUGCUUAACACAUGCAAGUCGAACGAUGAUCAGGAGCUUGCUCCUGUGAUUAGUGGCGAACGGGUGAGUAACACGUGAGUAACCUGCCCCUGACUCUGGGAUAAGCGUUGGAAACGACGUCUAAUACUGGAUACGACUGCCGGCCGCAUGGUCUGGUGGUGGAAAGAUUUUUUGGUUGGGGAUGGACUCGCGGCCUAUCAGCUUGUUGGUGAGGUAAUGGCUCACCAAGGCGACGACGGGUAGCCGGCCUGAGAGGGUGACCGGCCACACUGGGACUGAGACACGGCCCAGACUCCUACGGGAGGCAGCAGUGGGGAAUAUUGCACAAUGGGCGAAAGCCUGAUGCAGCAACGCCGCGUGAGGGAUGACGGCCUUCGGGUUGUAAACCUCUUUUAGUAGGGAAGAUAAUGACGGUACCAGCAGAAGAAGCCCCGGCUAACUCCGUGCCAGCAGCCGCGGUAAUAC